UACGUAGGGUGCAAGCGUUGUCCGGAAUUAUUGGGCGUAAAAGAGCUCGUAGGCGGUUUGUUGCGUCGGCUGUGAAAUCCCGAGGCUCAACCUCGGGUCUGCAGUCGAUACGAGCAAACUAGAGUGUUGCAGGGGGAGACUGGAAUUCCUGGUGUAGCGGUGAAAUGCGCAGAUAUCAGGAGGAACACCGGCGGCGAAGGCGGGUCUCUGGGCAACAACUGACGCUGAGGAGCGAAAGCGUGGGGAGCGAACAGG
RNAcentral lists this ribosomal RNA (255 nucleotides) under uncultured bacterium. RNAcentral describes it as "partial 16S ribosomal RNA". It matches the Rfam family "Bacterial small subunit ribosomal RNA", at positions 524 to 776 of the family's 1533-position model. The record is from RNAcentral.